GACGAACGCUGGCGGCGUGCUUAACACAUGCAAGUCGAACGGAAAGGCCCUGCUUUUGUGGGGUGCUCGAGAGGCGAACGGGUGAGUAACACGUGAGUAACCUGCCCUUGACUGUGUGAUAACUUCAGGAAACUGGGGCGAAUACCGGAUAGGAGCUCCUGCUGCACGGUGGGGGUUGGAAAGAUUCGGCGGUUCGGGCUGGUCUCGCGGCUUAUCAGCUGGUUGGUGGGGUAGUUGCUGACCACGGCUUCGACGGGUAGCCGGCCUGAGAGGGUGACCGGCCACAUUACGACUAAGAUACGCACCAGAAUCCUACGGGAGGCAGCAGUCGGGAAUAUUGCACAAUAGCCGGAAGCCUGAUACAGAAACGCCGCGUGCGGGAUGACGGCCUUCGGGUUGUAAACCGAUUUCGCAUGUGCCGAAGCGUGAGUGACGGUAAUGGGUAAAGAAGCACCGGCUAACUACGUG
Molecule: ribosomal RNA, 468 nt
Filed under: uncultured bacterium
Lineage: Bacteria
Description: partial 16S ribosomal RNA
Rfam family: Bacterial small subunit ribosomal RNA
Source: RNAcentral